ACGCGAGACUACAGGGUUGAAUGUAAUGACCGCUACUGAAGGGAUUUUCCUCAAGGACACGAAACUAGGUGCUGCAUGGCUGUCGUCGGCUCGUGCCGGGGGGUGUUGGGUUAAGUCCCGCACCCAGCGCAACCCCUACCAUUAGUUGCCAACAGGUAAAGCUGGGGACUCUAAUGGAACUGCCCGCGCAAGCGGAAAGGAAGGUGGGGAUGACGUCAGUCAUCACGGCCCUUAUCUCCUGGGCUGGCACAUGCUACAAUGGUUACUACAGAGAGCAGCUACACAAUAAUGUGAUGCAAAUCUUUAAAAAAAAAUCUCAUUUCGGAUUGGGGUCUGCAACUCGACCUCAUGAAGCUGGAUUCACUAGUAAUCACGCAUCAAAAUGGCGCGGUGAAUACGUUCCCCGGCGMAA
This 412-nucleotide ribosomal RNA is filed under the name uncultured bacterium. RNAcentral describes it as "bacterial SSU rRNA". It matches the Rfam family "Bacterial small subunit ribosomal RNA", at positions 959 to 1379 of the family's 1533-position model. The record is from RNAcentral.